CUGGGAUAACUCUGGGAAACUGGGGAUAAUACCGGAUAUUAGGCUAUGCCUGGAAUGGUUUGCCUUUGAAAUGUUUUUUCGCCUAAGGAUAGAUCUGCGGCUGAUUAGGUCGUUGGUGGGGUAAUGGCCCACCAAGCCGAUGAUCGGUACGGGUUGUGAGAGCAAGAGCCCGGAGAUGGAACCUGAGACAAGGUUCCAGACCCUACGGGGUGCAGCAGGCGCGAAACCUCCGCAAUGUACGAAAGUGCGACGGGGGGAUCCCAAGUGUCAUGCUUUUUUGUAUGACUUUUCAUUAGUGUAAAAAGCUUUUAGAAUAAGAGCUGGGCAAGACCGGUGCCAGCCGCCGCGGUAACACCGGCAGCUCGAGUGGUAGCUGUUUUUAUUGGGCCUAAAGCGUUCGUAGCCGGUUUGAUAAGUCUUUGGUGAAAGCUUGUAGCUUAACUAUAAGAAUUGCUGGAGAUACUAUUAGACUUGAAGUCGGGAGAGGUUAGAGGUACUACCGGGGUAGGGGUGAAAUCCUAUAAUCCUGGGAGGACCACCUGUGGCGAAGGCGUCUAACUGGAACGAUCUUGACGGUGAGUAACGAAAGCCAGGGGCGCGAACCGGAUUAGAUACCCGGGUAGUCCUGGCCGUAAACGAUGUGGACUUGGUGUUGGAAUGGCUUUGAGUUGUUCCGGUGCCGAAGGGAAGCUGUUAAGUCCACCGCCUGGGAAGUACGGUCGCAAGACUGAAACUUAA
Molecule: ribosomal RNA, 738 nt
Filed under: uncultured archaeon
Lineage: Archaea
Description: bacterial SSU rRNA
Rfam family: Archaeal small subunit ribosomal RNA
Source: RNAcentral